Molecule: ribosomal RNA, 517 nt
Filed under: uncultured bacterium
Lineage: Bacteria
Description: bacterial SSU rRNA
Rfam family: Bacterial small subunit ribosomal RNA
Source: RNAcentral
AGAGUUUGAUCCUGGCUCAGGAUGAACGCUAGCGACAGGCUUAACACAUGCAAGUCGAGGGCAGCAUAAAAGUAGCAAUACUUGGUGGCGACCGGCGCACGGGUGAGUAACGCGUAUGCAACCUACCUAUCAGAGGGGAAUAACCCGGCGAAAGUCGGACUAAUACCGCAUAAAACAGGGGCACCGCAUGGUGAUAUUUGUUAAAGAAAUUCGCUGAUAGAUGGGCAUGCGUUCCAUUAGGUAGUUGGUGAGGUAACGGCUCACCAAGCCGACGAUGGAUAGGGGAACUGAGAGGUUGGUCCCCCACACUGGUACUGAGACACGGACCAGACUCCUACGGGAGGCAGCAGUGAGGAAUAUUGGUCAAUGGGCGGGAGCCUGAACCAGCCAAGUCGCGUGAAGGAAAGAAGGAUCUAUGGUUCGUAAACUUCUUUUGCAGGGGAAUAAAGUGCAGGACGUGUCCUGUUUUGUAUGUACCCUGAGAAUAAGGAUCGGCUAACUCCGUGCCAGCAGCUGC